This 73-nucleotide transfer RNA is filed under the name Microbacterium paludicola. It matches the Rfam family "tRNA". Rfam says of the family: Transfer RNA (tRNA) molecules are approximately 80 nucleotides in length. Their secondary structure includes four short double-helical elements and three loops (D, anti-codon, and T loops). Further hydrogen bonds mediate the characteristic L-shaped molecular structure. tRNAs have two regions of fundamental functional importance: the anti-codon, which is responsible for specific mRNA codon recognition, and the 3' end, to which the tRNAs corresponding amino acid is attached (by aminoacyl-tRNA synthetases). tRNAs cope with the degeneracy of the genetic code in two manners: having more than one tRNA (with a specific anti-codon) for a particular amino acid; and 'wobble' base-pairing, i.e. permitting non-standard base-pairing at the 3rd anti-codon position. Lineage: Bacteria; Bacillati; Actinomycetota; Actinomycetes; Micrococcales; Microbacteriaceae. RNAcentral also lists the same sequence under 2 other names. The record is from Rfam by way of RNAcentral.
GCGCCCGUAGCUCAGUGGAUAGAGCAUUGGCUUCCGGUGCCAAGGGUCGGGGGUUCGAAUCCCUUCGGGCGCA